This 858-nucleotide ribosomal RNA is filed under the name Triticum aestivum (bread wheat). RNAcentral's name for it is "partial small subunit ribosomal RNA". Lineage: Eukaryota; Viridiplantae; Streptophyta; Magnoliopsida; Poales; Poaceae. The record is from RNAcentral.
AUGGAGAACCGUGAUUGGAUGUAUAGUGGAUGGGUGUUUGGUCAAGUCCCUUCUAAUAUAUGGCUUGAAGAAACUGCACGAUUUAUAGACCGGGCCUUCUCUUCCGUAGCUGAAGGUGGUAAAAUUAAGUGUCCAUGCGCCAAAUGUCGGAAUUAUUUUCCGCAAGAAAGGCACAUUGUAGAGAAACACUUGUAUAAACAUGGGUAUAAGCCAAAUUACAAAACCUGGACAGAACAUGGUGAGAGUUUUGUAGCUGCUGCUGAUGGAUCUGUCCCUUUAGUACAUCAAGAGGGCUGUAAUGAAACUGAUCGAAUGGACAAUAUGUUGGUUGACUUAGGUGGUAGCCAUCUUCCACCGGUUACUGAGGAGCCAACCUCCUCUGCCAAGGCUUUUUAUAGGAUGGUCAGUAGUGCCGAUGAAUUGGUACAUGAGAACACAAAACACUCACGUCUUUCUGCUGUAGCUCGUUUGCUGGCUAUGAAAUCACAAUACAACAUGUCCAUUGCACAUUUUGAUGAUACCUUAAAAAUAAUCCAUGAACUUUUGCCUCCUGAAUCUAAUUUGUCCGAAGACUUCUACCAAUCCAAGAAACUCUUAGAAGGUCUUGGGAUGCCAUAUGUCAAAAUAGAUGUGUGCAAAAAUAAUUGCAUGUUGUAUUACAAAGAUAACAAACAUAAAGAGAAGUGUGACUUUUGUGGCACAUCUCGUUACGAGGAAGGCCAAAAGAAAAUCCCACGUAAAGUUUUGCGGUACCUCCCUCUAAAAGAUAGAUUGCAAAGGUUGUAUGCCAAUGAGGAGACCGCAAAGCUUAUGCGUUCUCACACUCCUUCCGGGUCUGAUGCAACCAUUAGCAGAUGA